AGUGAACGCUGGCGGUAGGCCUAACACAUGCAAGUCGAACGGCAGCACAGUAAGAGCUUGCUCUUACGGGUGGCGAGUGGCGGACGGGUGAGGAAUACAUCGGAAUCUACUUUUUCGUGGGGGAUAACGUAGGGAAACUUACGCUAAUACCGCAUACGACCUACGGGUGAAAGCAGGGGAUCUUCGGACCUUGCGCGAUUGAAUGAGCCGAUGUCGGAUUAGCUAGUUGGCGGGGUAAAGGCCCACCAAGGCGACGAUCCGUAGCUGGUCUGAGAGGAUGAUCAGCAAACGUGGAAAUGGGACAGGGGCCAGACCCCUCGGGGGGGCAGAAGGGGGGAAUUUGGGCAAAGGGGCGAAAGCCUGCCCCAGCCAUCCCGGGGGGGGAAAAAAGGCCUUCGGGUUGUAAAGCCCUUUUGUUGGGAAAAAAAAGCAGCAGGUUAAAACCCCGCUUUUCUGGCGGUACCAAAAAAAUAAGCACCGGCUAACUUCGU
Molecule: ribosomal RNA, 491 nt
Filed under: uncultured bacterium
Lineage: Bacteria
Description: partial 16S ribosomal RNA
Rfam family: Bacterial small subunit ribosomal RNA
Source: RNAcentral